CCUACGUGAGGCAGCAGUGAGGAAUAUUGGUCAAUGGGCUUACGCCUGAACCAGCCAAGUCGCGUGAGGGAAGACUGCCCUAUGGGUUGUAAACCUCUUUUGUCAGGGAGCAACGCCGGCUACGUGUAGCCGGACUGAGAGUACCUGAAGAAAAAGCAUCGGCUAACGCCGUGCCAGCAGCCGCGGUAAUACGGAGGAUGCGAGCGUUAUCCGGAUUUAUUGGGUUUAAAGGGUGCGUAGGCGGAAUGCCAAGUCAGCGGUAAAAUCGCGGGGCUCAACCUCGCUCCGCCGUUGAAACUGGCGUUCUUGAGUGAGCGAGGAGUGUGCGGAAUGCGUGGUGUAGCGGUGAAAUGCAUAGAUAUCACGCAGAACUCCGAUUGCGAAGGCAGCAUACCGGCGCCCAACUGACGCUGAGGCACGAAAGCGUGGGUAUCGAACAGGAUUAGAUACCCUUGUAGUC
RNAcentral lists this ribosomal RNA (460 nucleotides) under uncultured bacterium. RNAcentral's name for it is "partial 16S ribosomal RNA". It matches the Rfam family "Bacterial small subunit ribosomal RNA", at positions 338 to 795 of the family's 1533-position model. The record is from RNAcentral.